GGGUUGUGAGGUUAAGCGACUAAGCGUACACGGUGGAUGCCCUGGCAGUCAGAGGCGAUGAAGGACGUGCUAAUCUGCGAUAAGCGUCGGUAAGGUGAUAUGAACCGUUAUAACCGGCGAUUUCCGAAUGGGGAAACCCAGUGUGAUUCGUCACACUAUCAUUAACUGAAUCCAUAGGUUAAUGAGGCGAACCGGGGGAACUGAAACAUCUAAGUACCCCGAGGAAAAGAAAUCAACCGAGAUUCCCCCAGUAGCGGCGAGCGAACGGGGAGGAGCCCAGAGCCUGAAUCAGUGUGUGUGUUAGUGGAAGCGUCUGGAAAGGCGCGCGAUACAGGGUGACAGCCCCGUACACAAAAAUUCACAUAUUGUGAGCUCGAUGAGUAGGGCGGGACACGUGGUAUCCUGUCUGAAUAUGGGGGGACCAUCCUCCAAGGCUAAAUACUCCUGACUGACCGAUAGUGAACCAGUACCGUGAGGGAAAGGCGAAAAGAACCCCGGCGAGGGGAGUGAAAAAGAACCUGAAACCGUGUACGUACAAGCAGUGGGAGCCUCUUUAUGGGGUGACUGCGUACCUUUUGUAUAAUGGGUCAGCGACUUAUAUUCUGUAGCAAGGUUAACCGAAUAGGGGAGCCGAAGGGAAACCGAGUCUUAACUGGGCGUUAAGUUGCAGGGUAUAGACCCGAAACCCGGUGAUCUAGCCAUGGGCAGGUUGAAGGUUGGGUAACACUAACUGGAGGACCGAACCGACUAAUGUUGAAAAAUUAGCGGAUGACUUGUGGCUGGGGGUGAAAGGCCAAUCAAACCGGGAGAUAGCUGGUUCUCCCCGAAAGCUAUUUAGGUAGCGCCUCGUGAAUUCAUCUCCGGGGGUAGAGCACUGUUUCGGCAAGGGGGUCAUCCCGACUUACCAACCCGAUGCAAACUGCGAAUACCGGAGAAUGUUAUCACGGGAGACACACGGCGGGUGCUAACGUCCGUCGUGAAGAGGGAAACAACCCAGACCGCCAGCUAAGGUCCCAAAGUCAUGGUUAAGUGGGAAACGAUGUGGGAAGGCCCAGACAGCCAGGAUGUUGGCUUAGAAGCAGCCAUCAUUUAAAGAAAGCGUAAUAGCUCACUGGUCGAGUCGGCCUGCGCGGAAGAUGUAACGGGGCUAAACCAUG
RNAcentral lists this ribosomal RNA (1157 nucleotides) under Escherichia coli. RNAcentral describes it as "partial 23S ribosomal RNA". It matches the Rfam family "Bacterial large subunit ribosomal RNA", at positions 1 to 1191 of the family's 2925-position model. The record is from RNAcentral. Lineage: Bacteria; Pseudomonadati; Pseudomonadota; Gammaproteobacteria; Enterobacterales; Enterobacteriaceae.